RNAcentral lists this transfer RNA (76 nucleotides) under Bacilli bacterium. RNAcentral describes it as "tRNA-Asp". It matches the Rfam family "tRNA". From Rfam's summary of the family: Transfer RNA (tRNA) molecules are approximately 80 nucleotides in length. Their secondary structure includes four short double-helical elements and three loops (D, anti-codon, and T loops). The record is from RNAcentral. RNAcentral also lists the same sequence under 1 other name. Lineage: Bacteria; Bacillati; Bacillota; Bacilli.
GGACCGUUGGUAUAUCGGUUUAUUAUUCUUCCCUGUCACGGAAGAGAGACGAGUUCGACUCUCGUACGGUCCGCCA